RNAcentral lists this ribosomal RNA (206 nucleotides) under uncultured bacterium. RNAcentral's name for it is "partial 16S ribosomal RNA". It matches the Rfam family "Bacterial small subunit ribosomal RNA", at positions 568 to 774 of the family's 1533-position model. The record is from RNAcentral.
UGCGUAGGCGGUUGUUUAAGUCUGUCGUGAAAUCCCCGGGCUCAACCUGGGAAUGGCGAUGGAUACUGGGCAGCUAGAGUGUGUCAGAGGAUGGUGGAAUUCCCGGUGUAGCGGUGAAAUGCGUAGAGAUCGGGAGGAACAUCAGUGGCGAAGGCGGCCAUCUGGGACAACACUGACGCUGAAGCACGAAAGCGUGGGAGCAAACA